Molecule: non-coding RNA, 27 nt
Filed under: Homo sapiens (human)
Lineage: Eukaryota; Metazoa; Chordata; Mammalia; Primates; Hominidae
Source: RNAcentral
AGCUGAGACAGACCUCUGCUGAGUAGC